UAUUUCUCAGUUUUUUUAACCUGCAGGUGAUCAUGUACCUUUUCUCCUUAUAUUGGCGAUAGCUUAAAGUCGUGUAUUUAGAAGUUGUAGAUGAUGUAUCAUCAUAGCGCUUGAUGAAUUGUUGAAAUUGAAUUUUUCGGUUCACUUCUAGGACCUUUUUCUUUUCUAUAUGUAGUAAUCUUUGUUUCUUAUUUUUUCCCUGUUUCCUAUGAUUUUUACCCAGGUAUACAUUUUAUUGUGGAAUAGUUUCUUAAAAAUGUUUCUACACAUGGCUUCAGGUAACUUGGUUUGAUUCUGUUUAUGGGCAUUUCUUUUACUUUCAACAAUCAUAAAAUCAUAUUUAAUCAUUACUUUUUUUUAUUCAUUCAAUUAAGAAAAAAUAAUAAUAAUAUUUUUGAAGGGAAAAAAAUAAUCGUGAAAUCCUAUUUGUUGUCGGUUUCUGUUUUGUAUAUAUUUGUGAUUGAGAUUGAGAGAUAUAAACCUUCCAGCAUUGUUAUUGUUAUUACCCUUUUUAACAGAUGUAUGUGUCCUUAGUAUGAUUAAAAGGGAUUGCAAUCACAUAAUGGAGCUAAAUGGUCCGAUGGAGGCGAGCUGAUGUGUUAUGGCUGAAUUUUUUGGGCAAGGUUUUAAGAUUUUUGGAAUGUGUAGCUUGCUUGAAAAUCUACUUGAUCCACUCAUUUGAAAAUAUAUUCAAUCAUAUUUAAAGAGAAACUAUGUGUUUCUACAAA
Papaver somniferum (opium poppy) is the source of this 728-nucleotide long non-coding RNA. RefSeq lists it as uncharacterized. The transcript is spliced from 2 exons. The record is from RefSeq and is a predicted model, not a curated record. NCBI's taxonomy places the organism in Eukaryota, Viridiplantae, Streptophyta, Magnoliopsida, Ranunculales, Papaveraceae.